UCGGGAAUUUUGGGCAAUGGGCGCAAGCCUGAUCCAGCCAUGCCGCGUGCGGGAAGAAGGCCUUCGGGUUGUAAACCGCUUUUGUCAGGGAAGAAACGCUCUGGGCUAAUACCCUGGGGUAAUGACGGUACCUGAAGAAUAAGCACCGGCUAACUACGUGCCAGCAGCCGCGGUAAUACGUAGGGUGCAAGCGUUAAUCGGAAUUACUGGGCGUAAAGCGUGCGCAGGCGGUUAUGCAAGACAGAUGUGAAAUCCCCGGGCUCAACCUGGGAACUGCAUUUGUGACUGUAUAGCUAGAGUACGGUAGAGGGGGAUGGAAUUCCGCGUGUAGCAGUGAAAUGCGUAGAUAUUUGGAGGAACACCGAUGGCGAAGGCAGCCCCCUGGGCUAACACUGACGCUCAUGCACGAAAGCGUGGGGAGCAAACAGGAUUAGAUACCCCCGUAGUCCCUGAGCGGGCUGGCAAGGCGCAU
RNAcentral lists this ribosomal RNA (472 nucleotides) under uncultured bacterium. Its description in RNAcentral is "bacterial SSU rRNA". It matches the Rfam family "Bacterial small subunit ribosomal RNA", at positions 355 to 825 of the family's 1533-position model. The record is from RNAcentral.